UAAUACAGAGGGUGCGAGCGUUGUCCGGAAUCACUGGGCGUAAAGGGCGCGUAGGCGGGCGAUCAAGCGUGCGGUGAAAGCUCGGGGCUCAACUCCGAGUCGGCCGUGCGAACUGGUUGUCUAGAGUCUGGUAGAGGUCGAUGGAAUUCCGGGUGUAGCGGUGGAAUGCGUAGAGAUCCGGAAGAACACCGGUGGCGAAGGCGGUCGACUGGGCCAGUACUGACGCUGAUGCGCGACAGCGUGGGGAGCAAACAGGAUUAGAUACCCUGGUAGUCCACGCCGUAAACGAUGGGCACUAGAUCCUUGGGGGAGCGACCCCGUGAGGGUCGGCGCUAACGCAUUAAGUGCCCCGCCUGGGGAGUACGGCCGCAAGGCU
This 376-nucleotide ribosomal RNA is filed under the name uncultured bacterium. Its description in RNAcentral is "bacterial SSU rRNA". It matches the Rfam family "Bacterial small subunit ribosomal RNA", at positions 521 to 895 of the family's 1533-position model. The record is from RNAcentral.